UAGGGAAUCUUCCACAAUGGACGCAAGUCUGAUGGAGCAACGCCGCGUGAGUGAAGAAGGUCUUCGGAUCGUAAAACUACUGUUGUUAGAGAAGAACACGAGUGAGAGUAACUGUUCAUUCGAUGACGGUAUCUAACCAGCAAGUCACGGCUAACUACGUGCCAG
RNAcentral lists this ribosomal RNA (165 nucleotides) under uncultured bacterium. Its description in RNAcentral is "partial 16S rRNA". It matches the Rfam family "Bacterial small subunit ribosomal RNA", at positions 355 to 511 of the family's 1533-position model. The record is from RNAcentral.